RNAcentral lists this ribosomal RNA (711 nucleotides) under uncultured Carnobacteriaceae bacterium. RNAcentral's name for it is "bacterial SSU rRNA". It matches the Rfam family "Bacterial small subunit ribosomal RNA", at positions 58 to 754 of the family's 1533-position model. The record is from RNAcentral. Lineage: Bacteria; Bacillati; Bacillota; Bacilli; Lactobacillales; Carnobacteriaceae.
CAAGUCGAACGAUGAUAUCACUGCUUGCAGUGAUUGAUUAGUGGCGAACGGGUGAGUAACACGUGAGGAACUUGCCCAUGAGCGGGGGACAACAUUCGGAAACGGAUGCUAAUACCCCAUAGGUGGAUUGGUCGCAUGACGAAUUCAUUAAAGGUGGCUUUGCUACCACUCAUGGAUAGCCUCGCGGCGUAUUAGCUAGUUGGUAAGGUAAUGGCUUACCAAGGCAGUGAUACGUAGCCGACUUGAGAGGGUGAUCGGCCACACUGGGACUGAGACACGGCCCAGACUCCUACGGGAGGCAGCAGUAGGGAAUCUUCCACAAUGGGUGCAAACCUGAUGGAGCAAUGCCGCGUGAGUGAAGAAGGUCUUCGGAUCGUAAAGCUCUGUUGUUAGAGAAGAACACGUGCUAGGUAACUACUAGCGCCUUGACGGUAUCUAACCAGAAAGUCACGGCUAACUACGUGCCAGCAGCCGCGGUAAUACGUAGGUGACAAGCGUUGUCCGGAUUUAUUGGGCGUAAAGGGAGCGCAGGCGGUCUGUUUAGUCUAAUGUGAAAGCCCACGGCUUAACCGUGGAACGGCAUUGGAAACUGACAGACUUGAAUGUAGAAGAGGAAAAUGGAAUUCCAAGUGUAGCGGUGGAAUGCGUAGAUAUUUGGAGGAACACCAGUGGCGAAGGCGAUUUUCUGGUCUAACAUUGACGCUGAGGCUC